UGGGGAAUUUUGGACAAUGGGCGCAAGCCUGAUCCAGCAAUGCCGCGUGUGUGAAGAAGGCCUUCGGGUUGUAAAGCACUUUUGGCAGGAAAGAAACAGUGCGUGCUAAUACCAUGCGCGAAUGACGGUGCCUGCAGAAUAAGCACCGGCUAACUACGUGCCAGCAGCCGCGGUAAUACGUAGGGCGCGAGCGUUAAUCGGAAUUACUGGGCGUAAAGCGUGCGCAGGCGGCUUUGUAAGACGGAUGUGAAAGCCCCGGGCUCAACCUGGGAAGUGCAUUCGUGACUGCAAGGCUAGAGUGUGUCAGAGGGAGGUGGAAUUGCGCGUGUAGCAGUGAAAUGCGUAGAGAUGCGGAGGAACACCGAUGGCGAAGGCAGCCUCCUGGGAUAACACUGACGCUCAGGCACGAAAGCGUGGGGAGCAAACAG
RNAcentral lists this ribosomal RNA (428 nucleotides) under uncultured bacterium. RNAcentral describes it as "bacterial SSU rRNA". It matches the Rfam family "Bacterial small subunit ribosomal RNA", at positions 355 to 775 of the family's 1533-position model. The record is from RNAcentral.